AGGCAGCGGAGCUCACGGGGAUCAGCGCGGACCUGCGGCGCCGGCAGCGCCGAUCCGCCGCCGCCCGCCGGCGGAGAAGGGAAGGGAAGAGGGGACGCGGGCGCUGCCGGAGCAGCAGGACCCUGCCGCAUCACCUCAGCGCCCGCGGGCACGAAGGGAGGCGUGAGCCACAUUUUAUAAACCUUUAAGGAGCCAGUUCUGCAAGAACAACUCAACAGACUGAGUGGUGACUUACAACUACAAGCCAGGAGAAUGGUCUGAUGUUGGCUCUGGGAUACUCCUGGGCAUCAUGAGAGGUCCUUGAAGCUCAUACCUUUGCGAGGGAUGUGCAUCCAGAAGAGAAGAGCUGUGAUGGGGUGAGCUAAAGGCAGCCUCCCCAACCCAGCACCCUCGGACAAGCAAGGCUGUUCCAGAGCACGGCGGCUGUUCCAGAGCAAGGUAUUCACUCCCUGUAAUGAGACAAUGCUAUUCUGCUGUGGAAGUUUCUUUCCUAGUUGGUGAUCUGUUUAAAUAACCUGGGGAG
This is a long non-coding RNA of Rhea pennata, 523 nucleotides long. RefSeq lists it as uncharacterized. NCBI's taxonomy places the organism in Eukaryota, Metazoa, Chordata, Aves, Rheiformes, Rheidae. The transcript is spliced from 3 exons. The record is from RefSeq and is a predicted model, not a curated record.